RNAcentral lists this transfer RNA (69 nucleotides) under Tessaromerus quadriarticulatus. RNAcentral describes it as "tRNA-Ser". It matches the Rfam family "tRNA". From Rfam's summary of the family: Transfer RNA (tRNA) molecules are approximately 80 nucleotides in length. Their secondary structure includes four short double-helical elements and three loops (D, anti-codon, and T loops). The record is from RNAcentral. Lineage: Eukaryota; Metazoa; Arthropoda; Insecta; Hemiptera; Urostylididae.
AGCCAAAAAGUUUUAGUUAAACAUAUAUUUUGAAAAUAUAAAAAAAAGGUUAGACUCCUUUAUUGGUUU